AUGAAACUCUAUUAUUUUUAUUUUUUUUUUCGUUUCUAAUAAUUCAACCUCACAUUCAUUUUCUUCAAUAUCUUCCCUGAAAUUCAGUGAGAGUAUAAAUUCCAAGCGAUUUUUUAAAUUUGUAUAUCCGCUAAGCAUUUGGUUGCUUCGGUGGUACUUUACGUGAAUAUUCUGGGUAUAGUUCAAGAUUUGGUUUUAAUCAUUAAAUUCAGGAAAACAGGGCGCACCAAGAGCUGAAUAGAAUAUUUGGUUACUAAAAGCAUCGCGUCACUUCAAACACCUUUAACGGAUCCUGCGAUCCAUCGAUUGGCCUAAAAUUAUGUAGACUAGACCCGGUGGAAAAGUCUCUCUUCACCACAAUAGAUAAUUGAAAUAAGAAUAUCCAUCCUACCAAUUCAACAACAAAUUUGCGGAUGUUGCAGCACCCGUUUCUCAA
Molecule: long non-coding RNA, 436 nt
Organism: Ceratitis capitata (Mediterranean fruit fly)
Lineage: Eukaryota; Metazoa; Arthropoda; Insecta; Diptera; Tephritidae
Exons: 3
Source: RefSeq, a predicted model, not a curated record